Molecule: ribosomal RNA, 408 nt
Filed under: uncultured Solobacterium sp.
Lineage: Bacteria; Bacillati; Bacillota; Erysipelotrichia; Erysipelotrichales; Erysipelotrichaceae
Description: bacterial SSU rRNA
Rfam family: Bacterial small subunit ribosomal RNA
Source: RNAcentral
UAGGGAAUUUUCGGCAAUGAGGGGAACCUUUGACCGAGCAACGCCGCGUGAACGAGGAAGGUCUUUGGAUCGCAGAGUUCUGUUGUAAGGGAAGAACACUAUAGAUAGGGAAUGAUCUAUAGCUGACGGUACCUUGCCAGAAAGCCACGGCUAACUACGUGCCAGCAGCCGCGGUAAUACGUAGGUGGCGAGCGUUAUCCGGAAUCAUUGGGCGUAAAGGGUGCGUAGGCGGCAGAUUAAGUUUGUGGUGAAAGAGCAAGGCUCAACCUUGUUAAGCCACAAAAACUGGUCAGCUAGAGUGCAGUAGAGGCAAGUGGAAUUCCAUGUGUAGCGGGUAAAAUGUGUAGAUAUAUGGAGGAACACCGGUGGCGAAGGCGGCUUGCUGGGGCUGUAACUGACGCUGAGGCA